Molecule: small RNA, 74 nt
Filed under: Xanthomonas prunicola
Lineage: Bacteria; Pseudomonadati; Pseudomonadota; Gammaproteobacteria; Lysobacterales; Lysobacteraceae
Description: sX9 sRNA
Rfam family: Xanthomonas sRNA sX9
Source: RNAcentral
AUGCGCCACUCGUACACUGCAGUUCCUGAGCGCCAUCCACAGCCACUGGACGACUGUCGCUCGUCUUGUGAGCC